RNAcentral lists this ribosomal RNA (458 nucleotides) under Oxyomus sylvestris. Its description in RNAcentral is "partial 16S ribosomal RNA". Lineage: Eukaryota; Metazoa; Arthropoda; Insecta; Coleoptera; Scarabaeidae. The record is from RNAcentral.
GUCUUUUUGAUUAUAAUUUAAAGUCUAACCUGCCCAAUGAGUUAUUGAAUGGCCGCAGUAUUUUAACUGUGCGAAGGUAGCAUAAUAAUUAGUUUUUUAAUUGGAAACUGGUAUGAAUGGUUGGACGAGAAAAUAGCUGUCUCAGUUUAAAUUUUAAUUAAAAUUUUAUUUUUAAGUUAAAAAGCUUAAAUAAUUUUAAAAGACGAGAAGACCCUAUAGAGUUUUAUAUUGAUAUUAUUUUUUAUUAAUAAGGAAUUAAUUUAUUUUAAUUAUAUAUUAAUAUUUUAUUGGGGUGAUAUAAAAAUUUAAUAAACUUUUUAUUUUAUUAAACAUUAAUUUAUGAUUAAUUGAUCCAUUAUUUAUGAUUAAAAGAUUAAAUUACCUUAGGGAUAACAGCGUAAUUUUUUUUUAGAGUUCUUAUUGAAAAAAAAGAUUGCGACCUCGAUGUUGGAUUAAAA